RNAcentral lists this ribosomal RNA (253 nucleotides) under uncultured bacterium. RNAcentral describes it as "partial 16S ribosomal RNA". It matches the Rfam family "Bacterial small subunit ribosomal RNA", at positions 524 to 776 of the family's 1533-position model. The record is from RNAcentral.
UACGUAGGGGGCAAGCGUUAUCCGGAUUUACUGGGUGUAAAGGGGGCGCAGACGGCGAUGCAAGCCAGGAGUGAAAGCCCGGGGCCCAACCCCGGGACUGCUCUUGGAACUGCGUGGCUGGAGUGCAGGAGGGGCAGGCGGAAUUCCUGGUGUAGCGGUGAAAUGCGUAGAUAUCAGGAGGAACACCGGUGGCGAAGGCGGCCUGCUGGACUGCAACUGACGUUGAGGCCCGAAAGCGUGGGGAACAAACAGG